This 73-nucleotide transfer RNA is filed under the name Protostelium mycophagum. Its description in RNAcentral is "tRNA-Leu". It matches the Rfam family "tRNA". Rfam says of the family: Transfer RNA (tRNA) molecules are approximately 80 nucleotides in length. Their secondary structure includes four short double-helical elements and three loops (D, anti-codon, and T loops). The record is from RNAcentral. Lineage: Eukaryota; Evosea; Variosea; Protosteliida; Protosteliaceae.
UACCACCUGGCGAAACGGUAGACGCACCCGGUUCAAAACCGGUUUUUUGCGGGUUCAACUCCCGCGGUGGGGA